AGCGGCGGAUGGGUGAGUAACACGUGGGGAACCUGCCCCUAAGUCUGGGAUACCAUUUGGAAACAGGUGCUAAUGCCGGAUAAUAAAGCAGAUCGCAUGAUCAGCUUUUGAAGGGCGGCGUAAGCUGUCGCUAAGGGAUGGCCCCGCGGUGCAUUAGCUAGUUGGUAAGGUAACGGCUUACCAAGGCGACGAUGCAUAGCCGAGUUGAGAGACUGAUCGGCCACAUUGGGACUGAGACACGGCCCAAACUCCUACGGGAGGCAGCAGUAGGGAAUCUUCCACAAUGGACGCAAGUCUGAUGGAGCAACGCCGCGUGAGUGAAGAAGGUUUUCGGAUCGUAAAGCUCUGUUGUUGGUGAAGAAGGAUAGAGGUAGUAACUGGCCUUUAUUUGACGGUAAUCAACCAGAAAGUCACGGCUAACUACGUGCCAGCAGCCGCGGUAAUACGUAGGUGGCAAGCGUUGUCCGGAUUUAUUGGGCGUAAAGCGAGCGCAGGCGGAAAAAUAAGUCUAAUGUGAAAGCCCUCGGCUUAACCGAGGAACUGCGUCGGAAACUGUUUUUCUUGAGUGCAGAAGAGGAGAGUGGAACUCCAUGUGUAGCGGUGGAAUGCGUAGAUAUAUGGAAGAACACCAGUGGCGAAGGCGGCUCUCUGGUCUGCAACUGACGCUGAGGCUCGAAAGCAUGGGUAGCGAACAGGAUUAGAUACCCUGGUAGUCCAUGCCGUAAACGAUGAGUGCUAAGUGU
Molecule: ribosomal RNA, 743 nt
Filed under: uncultured bacterium
Lineage: Bacteria
Description: bacterial SSU rRNA
Rfam family: Bacterial small subunit ribosomal RNA
Source: RNAcentral